RNAcentral lists this unclassified non-coding RNA (349 nucleotides) under soil metagenome. RNAcentral describes it as "partial contains 5.8S ribosomal RNA, internal transcribed spacer 2, and large subunit ribosomal RNA". The stretch from base 1 to 120 matches the Rfam family "5.8S ribosomal RNA", at positions 35 to 154 of the family's 154-position model. The record is from RNAcentral.
GAUGAAGAACGUAGCGAAAUGCGAUAAGUAAUGUGAAUUGCAGAAUUCAGUGAAUCAUCGAAUCUUUGAACGCACAUUGCGCCCGCCAGUAUUCUGGCGGGCAUGCCUGUCUGAGCGUCAUUUCAACCCUCAUGCCCCUAGGGCGUGGUGUUGGGGAUCGGCCAAAGCCCGCAAGGGACGGCCGGCCCCUAAAUCUAGUGGCGGACCCGUCGUGGCCUCCCCUGCGAAGUAGUGAUAUUCCGCAUAGGAGAAGCGACGAGCCCCUGCCGUUAAACCCCCAACUUUCUCAGGUUGACCUCAGACCAGGUAGGAAUACCCGCUGAACUUAAGCAUAUCAAUAAGCGGAGGA